Molecule: long non-coding RNA, 1038 nt
Filed under: Numida meleagris (helmeted guineafowl)
Lineage: Eukaryota; Metazoa; Chordata; Aves; Galliformes; Numididae
Description: lncRNA (ENSNMEG00000010317.1)
Source: RNAcentral
UGUCAGUUCCCCUGUGCAAAGGGAGCAUGCUGGCUACUGGCAUCUCGAUUUGCAAUCAAAUAGUUUCCUUCCCCAACAGAACUUGGGUUUGCAAUAGGCCAGUUUGGGGAGACAAAACGAUUAGGUGUUCCCACCUGCUCAAUUUACAGCAGUCUUGAGCAAUUAAUCCCUAUGAUCAUAUAAACAUACUGUGACCAGUGAAGCAGAAAGGAAGGUUAUGUUUGCAUUGUUGGCACCUGCAUCCUCUCGCCCUAUCACAGCCCACCUCAUUGUGUGAGCUUUGUGUAUCCCUGGAUGAGAUGACAGCACGUGUUGAACUGGUGCAUGCACUCUAGCUCUAGUCAAGUGUUUCCUGAGAUGUACUGUUAACAAGCAGAUAGCCAGGGACAGCUAAUGGGGUACCUGCACUCUCAAGCCCAUGCUGCUCAGUUGAGACUUGUUAAUAGAUUGGAAUAGCUUGCAGGGCCAGGCCACACAAUUUAACUUGAAUACACAGCUGCAGGAUAUUUAAACAAGAACAUUUCUCGUUGCCUUCAGGUAAGCAUUUCCACAUAGCUGUGGAAAUGGUGAGCAAGAUUUUGGAAAGCUACGGAAAUAUUUGGUUAGAGCAGCUUAGCUGAAGCAUACCUGCAGAGGCUGCACAGACAAAUGACUUGCUUCUGGCAUUGAGGACAGAUGUUGGAAAUGAAGAAAACCACAAAAAUAAUUGGAUGGGAAUGAGAAACUUGAAAAAACUCCUCAAACUGACCAGUUUUGUUCAGUACCAAAGGAAUUGAGACAUUUCCCAUGGUGCAGAAUAUCUUCAGUUCCCUCUCUUCAAACUCCGAGGAUCUUCAGAUCUGCAUCCCCUCCUUCCUGUAAAAUAUUCCCAGAAGAAUGUUAUUCAGAGAAGGAUCUCCCAGGUCAUCCAUCAAUGCUGUCAGACCUCAAAAUCUACUAGAGUAUGAUGUGAACCCAGAAUCCAGAGACAGAAGUCAUCAAAAUGGAGGCAAGAGAGCAGGACCUUCUGAGCUGGAUUCUUUGAGGCAGGUUGAAUAA